This 220-nucleotide long non-coding RNA is filed under the name Gossypium barbadense (sea-island cotton). RNAcentral's name for it is "long non-coding RNA (GBAR_LNC002546)". Lineage: Eukaryota; Viridiplantae; Streptophyta; Magnoliopsida; Malvales; Malvaceae. The record is from RNAcentral.
GGGUUAGGGGGAUUAGGUUUCUUUUUUAGGAUUUGGGCUGAUUGGGUUUGAUUUAGGUGGGUUGGGAUUUGGGUAUUUAUUGGGCCAUCUGAUUUGGGUUUGUUUGCCUGGGCCGGGCGAAAUUGGGCUGCUACAGCUGCCCCUCUUUGCUCGUUGUUGUGUAACGAGAAUAGAGCAAAGACCAAGAAAGGCCAAUUUUGCCCGGUCUCGCCUGUUUUGG